UGGGGAAUUUUGGACAAUGGGGGAAACCCUGAUCCAGCCAUCCCGCGUGUGCGAUGAAGGCCUUCGGGUUGUAAAGCACUUUUGGCAGGAAAGAAACGUCAUGGGUUAAUACCCCGUGAAACUGACGGUACCUGCAGAAUAAGCACCGGCUAACUACGUGCCAGCAGCCGCGGUAAUACGUAGGGUGCAAGCGUUAAUCGGAAUUACUGGGCGUAAAGCGUGCGCAGGCGGUUCGGAAAGAAAGAUGUGAAAUCCCAGAGCUCAACUUUGGAACUGCAUUUUUAACUACCGGGCUAGAGUGUGUCAGAGGGAGGUGGAUUUCCGCGUGUAGCAGUGAAAUGCGUAGAUAUGCGGAGGAACACCGAUGGCGAAGGCAGCCUCCUGGGAUAACACUGACGCUCAUGCACGAAAGCGUGGGGAGCAAACAGG
This 429-nucleotide ribosomal RNA is filed under the name Acidobacteriota bacterium. RNAcentral describes it as "Acidobacteria bacterium partial 16S ribosomal RNA". It matches the Rfam family "Bacterial small subunit ribosomal RNA", at positions 355 to 776 of the family's 1533-position model. Lineage: Bacteria; Pseudomonadati; Acidobacteriota. The record is from RNAcentral.